RNAcentral lists this ribosomal RNA (497 nucleotides) under uncultured bacterium. RNAcentral's name for it is "partial 16S ribosomal RNA". It matches the Rfam family "Bacterial small subunit ribosomal RNA", at positions 28 to 507 of the family's 1533-position model. The record is from RNAcentral.
GAUGAACGCUGGCGGCGUGCCUAAUACAUGCAAGUCGAGCGAACGGACGAGAAGCUUGCUUCUCUGAUGUUAGCGGCGGACGGGUGAGUAACACGUGGAUAACCUACCUAUAAGACUGGGAUAACUUCGGGAAACCGGAGCUAAUACCGGAUAAUAUUUUGAACCGCAUGGUUCAAAAGUGAAAGACGGUCUUGCUGUCACUUAUAGAUGGAUCCGCGCUGCAUUAGCUAGUUGGUAAGGUAACGGCUUACCAAGGCAACGAUGCAUAGCCGACCUGAGAGGAUGAUCGGCCACACUGGAACUGAGACACGGUCCAGACUCCUACGGGAGGCAGCAGUAGGGAAUCUUCCGCAAAGGGCGAAAGCCUGACGGAGCAACGCCGCGUGAGUGAUGAAGGUCUUCGGAUCGUAAAACUCUGUUAUUAGGGAAGAACAUAUGUGUAAGUAACUGUGCACAUCUUGACGGUACCUAAUCAGAAAGCCACGGCUAACUACGUG